This 460-nucleotide ribosomal RNA is filed under the name uncultured bacterium. Its description in RNAcentral is "partial 16S ribosomal RNA". It matches the Rfam family "Bacterial small subunit ribosomal RNA", at positions 338 to 795 of the family's 1533-position model. The record is from RNAcentral.
CCUACGGGCGUCAGCAGUGAGGACUAUUGGUCAAUGGGCGGAAGCCUGAACCCGCCAAGUAGCGUGCAGGAUGACGGCCCUACGGGUUGUCAACUGCUUUUAUACGGGAAUAACGCGCCUUACGUGUAGGGCUUUGCAUGUACCGUAUGAAUAAGGACCGGCUAAUUCCGUGCCAGCAGCCGCGGUAAUACGGACGGUCCGGGCGUUAUCCGGAUUUAUUGGGUUUAAAGGGAGCUUAGGCCGCAUGUCAAGCGUGCUGUGAAAUGUCCGGGCUAAACCCGGGCCUUGCAGCGCGCACGGGCGUGCUUGAGUCCGCGGAAAGCAGGCGGAAUUCGUCGUGUAGCGGUGAAAUGCUUAGAUAUGACGAAGAACCCCGAUUGCGAAGGCAGCUUGCUGCAGCGGAACUGACGCUGAUGCUCGAAAGCGCGGGUAUCGAACAGGAUUAGAUACCCUUGUAGUC